UUAAGUUCAGCGGGUAUUCCUACCUGAUCCGAGGUCAACCUUCAGAAGUGGGGGGUUUAACGGCGUGGCCAGGCUGCGUUCCGGUGCGAGGUGUGCUACUACGCAGAGGAGGCUACAGCGAGACCGCCACUAGAUUUCGGGGCCGGCGCGCCGGAGAGGGCGGCCGAUCCCCAACACCAAGCCCGGGGGCUUGAGGGUUG
RNAcentral lists this unclassified non-coding RNA (200 nucleotides) under Cosmospora sp. Its description in RNAcentral is "partial internal transcribed spacer 2". Lineage: Eukaryota; Fungi; Ascomycota; Sordariomycetes; Hypocreales; Nectriaceae. The record is from RNAcentral.